Molecule: non-coding RNA, 234 nt
Organism: Cinara cedri
Lineage: Eukaryota; Metazoa; Arthropoda; Insecta; Hemiptera; Aphididae
Source: the annotation of a GenBank genome assembly
UCACUGAACUCAUUGUCCGUAGAUUUAUAUUAUGUAAAACUGGAGUAUCCAGGUAAAACCCAAAGAGGUAGCAACCCUAGCAGUAGAUCGAAAAAUAGAAUAGACAAUGAGUGCAACAGAAAAAUGAGAAUGCUUAGGUAAACGGAUGAGUGGAGUGAUGAGUGAAAAUAUGAUAAGAAAUAAGUACAUAAGAAGUAUCUUAGACGUGGUUUCUAUAGUGAAUAAAAUGAGAGA